RNAcentral lists this ribosomal RNA (590 nucleotides) under uncultured bacterium. RNAcentral describes it as "bacterial SSU rRNA". It matches the Rfam family "Bacterial small subunit ribosomal RNA", at positions 338 to 944 of the family's 1533-position model. The record is from RNAcentral.
CCUACGGGAGGCAGCAGUGAGGAAUCUUCCACAAUGGACGAAAGUCUGAUGGAGCAAUACCGCGUGCAGGAAGACGCUUUUCGGAGUGUAAACUGCUUUUGUCGUCGAAGAUUAUGACUGUAGACGAAGAAUAAGGACCGGCUAACUACGUGCCAGCAGCCGCGGUAAUACGUAGGGUCCAAGCGUUAUCCGGAAUUACUGGGCGUAAAGCGUACGCAGAUGGCGUAAUAGGUGAGUUGUGAAAUCUUGUGGCUCAACCAUAUAGACUAUGACUCAAACCAUUACACUAGAGGUUGGUAGAGGCAAGCGGAAUUCCCGGUGUAGCAGUGACAUGCGUAGAUAUCGGGAGGAACACCAAUGGCGAAGGCAGCUUGCUGGGCCACACCUGACGUUAAGGUACGAAAGCGUGGGGAGCGAACGGGAUUAGAUACCCCGGUAGUCCACGCCGUAAACGAUGGAUACUAGUGGUAUGGAGAUUCGACCCUCUGUGUCACGAAGCUAACGCGAUAAGUAUCCCGCCUGGGGAGUACGAACGCAAGUUUAAACNCAAAUGAAUUGACGGNUGAGAGNGCGAGCGACGACGAGGAGAG